This is a non-coding RNA of Pelobates cultripes (western spadefoot toad), 262 nucleotides long. NCBI's taxonomy places the organism in Eukaryota, Metazoa, Chordata, Amphibia, Anura, Pelobatidae. The record is from the annotation of a GenBank genome assembly.
UUCCCUUUUAUUUUAGAAGUUUUUUUUCCUUUUUAAUAACUAUGUAGAUAGGCCCUCAAUAGAAACAUGCAUGUAUUUAUUGCUAAAUCAUUUUCAAUGAGAAUAUAUCUAAAAACAGCUUGCAAAAUAUGUAGAUCCGCUGUCUGCAGUUUUUGCAAGCCCUCAUUGGUUUCCUCAGGCCAGACUGAGUCUGAAAGGACCAUAUAGGUGCUUCACAUUGAGAAGACUCUGAUUUUGAGCUGGAAGCACGAACAAUCGGCUA